UACUAAAGGUGCGAGCGUUAAUCGGAAUUACUGGGCGUAAAGCGCGCGUAGGCGGUUUGGUAAGUCAAAUGUGAAAUCCCCGGGCUCAACCCGGGAACUGCAUUCGAUACUGCCAGGCUAGAGUGUGAAAGAGGAUAGUGGAAUUCCGGGUGUAGCGGUGAAAUGCGUAGAUAUCCGGAGGAACAUCAGUGGCGAAGGCGACUAUCUGGUUCAACACUGACGCUGAGGUGCGAAAGCGUGGGGAGCAAACAGG
RNAcentral lists this ribosomal RNA (253 nucleotides) under uncultured bacterium. RNAcentral's name for it is "partial 16S ribosomal RNA". It matches the Rfam family "Bacterial small subunit ribosomal RNA", at positions 524 to 776 of the family's 1533-position model. The record is from RNAcentral.